GCACAAGCGGUGGAUGAUGUGGUUUAAUCGAUGCAACGACGAAAACCUUACCACCUUUGACAUGUACGGAACCUUUAGAGAUAGGGGUGCUCGAAAGAGAGCCGUAACACAGGUGCUGCAUGGCUGUCGUCAUCUCGUGUCGUGAGAUGUUGGGUUAAGUCCCGCAACGAGCGCAACCCUUGUCAUUAGUUGCUACAUUCAGUUGGGCACUCUAAUGAGACUGCCGGUGACAAGCCGGAGGAAGGUGGGGAUGACGUCAGGUCCUCAUGGCCCUUAUGACCUGGGCUACACACGUGCUACAAUGGUUGGUACAACGAGUUGCGAGUCGGUGACGGCGAGCUAAUCUCUUAAAGCCAAUCUCAGUUCGGAUUGUAGGCUGCAACUCGCCUACAUGAAGUCGGAAUCGCUAGUAAUCGCGGAUCAGCACGCCGCGGUGAAUACGUUCCCGGGCCUU
This 454-nucleotide ribosomal RNA is filed under the name uncultured Acidobacteriaceae bacterium. RNAcentral describes it as "bacterial SSU rRNA". It matches the Rfam family "Bacterial small subunit ribosomal RNA", at positions 923 to 1382 of the family's 1533-position model. Lineage: Bacteria; Pseudomonadati; Acidobacteriota; Terriglobia; Terriglobales; Acidobacteriaceae. The record is from RNAcentral.